RNAcentral lists this ribosomal RNA (714 nucleotides) under uncultured bacterium. RNAcentral's name for it is "bacterial SSU rRNA". It matches the Rfam family "Bacterial small subunit ribosomal RNA", at positions 56 to 763 of the family's 1533-position model. The record is from RNAcentral.
UGCAGUCGAGCGAGAAAGGGGCUUCGGCCCCGAGUACAGCGGCAGACGGGUGAGUAAUACGUAGGUAACCUUCCCUUUUGUGGGGGACAACGGUCCGAAAGGACCGCUAAUACCGCAUCCGUCUCCCGGGACCCCGGUUCCGGGAGGGAAAGCUCCGCAAGGGGCGCAGAAGGCGGGGCCUAUGUCGCAUCAGCUAGUUGGUGGGGUAAUGGCCUACCAAGGCGAAGACGCGUAGCUGGUCUGAGAGGAUGAUCAGCCACACUGGGACUGAGACACGGCCCAGACUCCUACGGGAGGCAGCAGUGGGGAAUAUUGGACAAUGGGCGAAAGCCUGAUCCAGCCACGCCGCGUGAGUGAUGAAGGCCUUCGGGUCGUAAAGCUCUGUGGGGAGGGACGAACGUCCGGGCGAAGAGCUCGGGGUGACGGUACCUCCUUAGCAAGCACCGGCUAACUUCGUGCCAGCAGCCGCGGUAAUACGAAGGGUGCAAACGUUGCUCGGAAUCAUUGGGCGUAAAGCGCACGUAGGCGGCUUCGCAAGUCGGAUGUGAAAUCCCUCGGCUCAACCGAGGACGUGCAUCCGAAACUGCGGAGCUUGAGUGCUGAAGAGGAUCGCGGAAUUCCCGGUGUAGAGAUGAAAUUCGUAGAUAUCGGGAGGAACACCAGUGGCGAAGGCGGCGAUCUGGGCAGACACUGACGCUGAGGUGCGAAAGCGUG